UACAGAGGUCCCAAGCGUUGUUCGGAUUCAUUGGGCGUAAAGGGUGCGUAGGCGGCGCGGUAAGUCGGGUGUGAAAUCUCGGAGCUUAACUCCGAAACUGCAUUCGAUACUGCCGUGCUUGAGGACUGGAGAGGAGACUGGAAUUUACGGUGUAGCGGUGAAAUGCGUAGAUAUCGUAAGGAAGACCAGUGGCGAAGGCGGGGUCUCUGGACAGUUCCUGACGCUGAGGCACGAAGGUCAGGGGAGCAAACGGG
RNAcentral lists this ribosomal RNA (254 nucleotides) under uncultured bacterium. RNAcentral's name for it is "partial 16S ribosomal RNA". It matches the Rfam family "Bacterial small subunit ribosomal RNA", at positions 524 to 776 of the family's 1533-position model. The record is from RNAcentral.